AGGCUUUGAUCCUGGCUCAGGAUGAACGCUGGCGGCGUGCCUAACACAUGCAAGUCGAGCGAUUCUCUUAGGAGAAGAGCGGCGGACGGGUGAGUAACGCGUGGGUAACCUGCCCUGUACACACGGAUAACAUACCGAAAGGUAUGCUAAUACGGGAUAACAUAUUUUGAUGGCAUCAUCGAAAUAUCAAAGCUCCGGCGGUACAGGAUGGACCCGCGUCUGAUUAGCUAGUUGGUGAGGUAAUGGCUCACCAAGGCGACGAUCAGUAGCCGACCUGAGAGGGUGAUCGGCCACAUUGGAACUGAGACACGGUCCAAACUCCUACGGGAGGCAGCAGUGGGGAAUAUUGCACAAUGGGCGAAAGCCUGAUGCAGCAACGCCGCGUGAGCGAUGAAGGCCUUCGGGUCGUAAAGCUCUGUCCUCAAGGAAGAUAAUGACGGUACUUGAGGAGGAAGCCCCGGGUA
RNAcentral lists this ribosomal RNA (464 nucleotides) under uncultured Peptostreptococcaceae bacterium. RNAcentral describes it as "bacterial SSU rRNA". It matches the Rfam family "Bacterial small subunit ribosomal RNA", at positions 8 to 499 of the family's 1533-position model. The record is from RNAcentral. Lineage: Bacteria; Bacillati; Bacillota; Clostridia; Peptostreptococcales; Peptostreptococcaceae.